AACGAACGUUGGCGGCGUGGAUUAGGCAUGCAAGUCGCACGAAUCCCAGCCUUGUAGCAAUACCGGAUUGGGGAAAGUGGCGAAAGGGGCAGUAAGGCGUGGGUAACUUGCCCCGGAGUUCGGAAUAGCCUUUCUAACGAAUGGGUAUACCGAAUGCCCUGACGAGGGGGCCUCCUCUGGUCAGGAAAGUUACGGCGCCCCGAGAGGGGCCCGACGUAGUAUUAGCUUGUUGGUGGGGUAACGGCUCACCAAGGCCAAGANGCUUAGCAGGUGUGAGAGCACGACCUGCGCCACUGGCACUGGGACACUGGCCAGACUCCUACGGGAGGCUGCAGUCGAGGAUCUUCGGCAAUGGGCGCAAGCCUGACCGAGCGACGCCGCGUGGGCGAUGAAGGCCUU
Molecule: ribosomal RNA, 399 nt
Filed under: uncultured bacterium
Lineage: Bacteria
Description: bacterial SSU rRNA
Rfam family: Bacterial small subunit ribosomal RNA
Source: RNAcentral